Molecule: unclassified non-coding RNA, 211 nt
Filed under: Hevea brasiliensis (rubber tree)
Lineage: Eukaryota; Viridiplantae; Streptophyta; Magnoliopsida; Malpighiales; Euphorbiaceae
Source: RNAcentral
GGAGGCGCGAGAUUGGCCGGCAUAGACACCGAGAGCCCCGUUCCCAAGUACUACCAGCUCAAGGAGAUCAUCCGGGACAUGAUCGAGAAGGAGGAGCUCAGGGCUGGUCAGGCCAUACCGUCGGAGCGGGAGUUCUGCGAGCGGUACGGCAUAAGCCGGAUGACCGCGCGCCAGGCGAUCAUGGAGCUGGUCAACGAGGGGUUGCUGUACC